GAUAGACUCCUCUUCAGCAAGUGGAGUUUGCUCAGUUGACAUGGAACUAGAUGUUCAAACUUUCCAGUUUUCUGAGGACUUUUGGAAUGUCUUGUCCAUGUUAGCAGAAGUAAGUUGUAAAGUACAGAAACAUCCAUGACAACAGAGCAAACUUCAUCAGAUUAUAGAGACUGCUCUGCCAGUAACCUGCAGCUUAGAGUGUUCAGUUAAAAAGCUGUAACCGAGGCCAUCGGGCUCCAUGUGGAGCAUUUAAAUCACGAAAGGACUGUCCCGGUAUUUUUGCAUGCUUUCGCCAAUUUACUUCAUUUUUUUGUAUAUUGUAAAGGAUCAUUCCUGUUUAUUACAACUUGGGUUUGGAGUUGUGUUCAUCAUUUCUUUUAGUUACAACAUUGAACCCAGUGACCCGUUGUACUCCUUUAUAUCCUAACCCUAACCCUAACCUCCCAAAAAGGAGGUGUUACAGUCGGUACGUUUACAUGCACAGUUAAGGGGAGUUAACGUUAUAGCACAAUUAGGCCAUUUAACUGGAUUACUGUCCUUGUCCCUGUAAAUAAGCUCCAGGGAAGAAUUGAUUUUUUGAUGGAAGUAUGUCAGACUCCACCACAGCAGGUGGCGAUAUUUCCCCUUUCAGCUAGUUGCCGUUGAACCCUUUUGCAGCUGACCUAUUAGGUCACAUACCAAACAAGUAAGGAAGCAGCUCACGGUUUGCAUGCCGAUGACAACACGGAUAACCUUUCGGCACUGUACAUUUCUUGUCCAUUGAAAUCCCAUGUUGAUGUCCACUUCUUUCAUGUUGGGGUCUUUGAUGACUAAACAGCCCAAUCCUGGACACACAAGACAUAUUGCAGCUGAUGUACUGCUCAGUCCUGCUUGUCAUCCCAUCAUCCUCAUCGUUCAGCCAUCUCUGUCGUCACAUCCACCACCAGUGUCAAGACUCCGUUGGGGGGAAUGUUCCCAAACUAAGCACUGCAUCUCUCACCCCUGAAGCAACACCUCACGAUAGGGACAUAUCGCCAAAGAACUCGUCAUGAUUCAUGUUAUUGUGUAUUUUGUAAUACAUU
Non-coding RNA from Plectropomus leopardus (leopard coralgrouper), 1061 nucleotides. The record is from RefSeq and is a predicted model, not a curated record. Lineage: Eukaryota; Metazoa; Chordata; Actinopteri; Perciformes; Serranidae.